CCUACGGGAGGCAGCAGUGGGGAAUAUUGGGCAAUGGGCGCAAGCCUGACCCAGCAACGCCGCGUGAAGGAAGAAGGCUUUCGGGUUGUAAACUUCUUGUGUCAGGGAAGAGUAGAAGACGGUAACUGACGAAUAAGCCACGGCUAACUACGUGCCAGCAGCCGCGGUAAGACGUAGGUGGCAAGCGUUGUCCGGAUGUAAUGGGUGUAAAGGGCGUGUAGCCGGGUUGACAAGUCAGAUGUGAAAUCCUGCGGCUUAACCGCAGAACUGCAUUUGAAACUGUUGAUCUUGAGUACUGGAGAGUCAGACGGAAUUCCUAGUGUAGCGGUGAUAUGCGUAGAUAUUAGGAGGAACCCCAGUGGCGAAGGCGGUCUGCUGGACAGCAACUGACGGUGAGGCGCGAAAGCGUGGGGAGCAAACAGGAUUAGAUACCCGGGUAGUC
This 442-nucleotide ribosomal RNA is filed under the name uncultured bacterium. RNAcentral describes it as "partial 16S ribosomal RNA". It matches the Rfam family "Bacterial small subunit ribosomal RNA", at positions 338 to 795 of the family's 1533-position model. The record is from RNAcentral.